RNAcentral lists this unclassified non-coding RNA (287 nucleotides) under Rigidoporus sp. Its description in RNAcentral is "partial contains 5.8S ribosomal RNA, internal transcribed spacer 2, and large subunit ribosomal RNA". The stretch from base 1 to 52 matches the Rfam family "5.8S ribosomal RNA", at positions 103 to 154 of the family's 154-position model. RNAcentral also lists the same sequence under 2 other names. Lineage: Eukaryota; Fungi; Basidiomycota; Agaricomycetes; Polyporales; Meripilaceae. The record is from RNAcentral.
AACGCAUCUUGCGCUCCUUGGCAUUCCGAGGAGCAUGCCUGUUUGAGUGUCAUGGUAUUCUCAAUUCUCUUGGUUUCUGCCAAGAUGAUAUUGGACUUGGAGGCUAUUGCUGGCAUCGUUUCAGAAGCCAGCUCCUCUUAAAUGAAUCAGUGUGAACAUUCACUUCAUACUUGGUGUGAUAAUUAUCUGCACUAUGUCUGAGUGAUAGAGUUUCAUGCUUCGAAUCGUCGCGAGACACUAUUUUGACUUCUGACCUCAAAUCAGGUAGGAUUACCCGCUGAACUUAA